This 445-nucleotide ribosomal RNA is filed under the name uncultured bacterium. RNAcentral's name for it is "partial 16S ribosomal RNA". It matches the Rfam family "Bacterial small subunit ribosomal RNA", at positions 354 to 796 of the family's 1533-position model. The record is from RNAcentral.
GUGAGGAAUAUUGCGCAAUGGAGGCAACUCUGACGCAGCCAUGCCGCGUGCAGGAAGAAGGCGCUACGCGUUGUAAACUGCUUUUAACCGGGAAGAAACCCCAGGACGUGUCCUGGGUUGACGGUACCGGAGGAAUAAGCACCGGCUAACUUCGUGCCAGCAGCCGCGGUAAUACGAAGGGUGCAAGCGUUAUCCGGAUUCAUUGGGUUUAAAGGGUGCGUAGGCGGAGCGUUAAGUCAGUGGUGAAAUCCUGCAGCUUAACUGUAGACUUGCCAUUGAUACUGGAGCUCUUGAGUGCGCUUGAAGUGGGCGGAAUGUGCCGUGUAGCGGUGAAAUGCUUAGAUAUGGCACAGAACACCAAUUGCGAAGGCAGCUCACUAAGGCGAUACUGACGCUGAGGCACGAAAGCGUGGGGAUCGAACAGGAUUAGAAACCCGGGUAGUCC